Molecule: ribosomal RNA, 460 nt
Filed under: uncultured bacterium
Lineage: Bacteria
Description: partial 16S ribosomal RNA
Rfam family: Bacterial small subunit ribosomal RNA
Source: RNAcentral
CCUACGGGUGGCAGCAGUGAGGAAUAUUGGUCAAUGGACGAGAGUCUGAACCAGCCAAGUAGCGUGAAGGAUGACUGCCCUAUGGGUUGUAAACUUCUUUUAUAUGGGAAUAAAAUGUUCCACGUGUGGGAUUUUGUAUGUACCAUAUGAAUAAGGAUCGGCUAACUCCGUGCCAGCAGCCGCGGUAAUACGGGGGUUUCGAGGGUUCGCCGGAUUUAUUGGGUUUAAAGGGAGCGUAGGUGGAUUGUUAAGUCAGUUGUGAAAGUUUGCGGUUCAACCGUAAAAUUGCAGUUGAAACUGGCAGUCGUGAGUACAGUAGAGGUGGGCGGAAUUCGUGGUGUAGCGGUGAAAUGCUUAGAUAUCACGAAGAACUCCGAUUGCGAAGGCAGCUCACUGGACUGCAACUGACACUGAGGCUCGAAAGUGUGGGUAUCAAACAGGAUUAGAUACCCCAGUAGUC